GAGAUAAUAGUUUAAUGGAAGAACUGUUCCUUGCCCGGAAUUGAUGCAGGUUCGAAUCCUGCUUAUCUCCCCA
This 73-nucleotide transfer RNA is filed under the name Chryseobacterium sp. RNAcentral's name for it is "tRNA-OTHER". It matches the Rfam family "tRNA". Rfam says of the family: Transfer RNA (tRNA) molecules are approximately 80 nucleotides in length. Their secondary structure includes four short double-helical elements and three loops (D, anti-codon, and T loops). Lineage: Bacteria; Pseudomonadati; Bacteroidota; Flavobacteriia; Flavobacteriales; Weeksellaceae. The record is from RNAcentral.